Molecule: transfer RNA, 77 nt
Filed under: Clostridia bacterium
Lineage: Bacteria; Bacillati; Bacillota; Clostridia
Also listed under: 2 other names
Description: tRNA-Met
Rfam family: tRNA
About the family: Transfer RNA (tRNA) molecules are approximately 80 nucleotides in length.
Source: RNAcentral
CGCGGAGUAGAGCAGUUUGGUAGCUCGUCGGGCUCAUAACCCGGAGGUCGCAGGUUCAAGUCCUGCCUCCGCAACCA